This 429-nucleotide ribosomal RNA is filed under the name Bacteroidota bacterium. Its description in RNAcentral is "Bacteroidetes bacterium partial 16S ribosomal RNA". It matches the Rfam family "Bacterial small subunit ribosomal RNA", at positions 355 to 776 of the family's 1533-position model. The record is from RNAcentral. Lineage: Bacteria; Pseudomonadati; Bacteroidota.
UAGGGAAUCUUCGGCAAUGGGGGGAACCCUGACCGAGCAACGCCGCGUGAGUGAAGAAGGUUUUCGGAUCGUAAAGCUCUGUUGUUAAGGAAGAACGAGUGUGAGAAUGGAAAGUUCAUACUGUGACGGUACUUAACCAGAAAGGGACGGCUAACUACGUGCCAGCAGCCGCGGUAAUACGUAGGUCCCGAGCGUUGUCCGGAUUUAUUGGGCGUAAAGCGAGCGCAGGCGGUUAGAUAAGUCUGAAGUUAAAGGCAGUGGCUCAACCAUUGUAGGCUUUGGAAACUGUUUAACUUGAGUGCAGAAGAGGAGAGUGGAAUUCCAUGUGUAGCGGUGAAAUGCGUAGAUAUGUGGAGGAACACCGGUGGCGAAAGCGGCUCUCUGGUCUGUAACUGACGCUGAGGCUCGAAAGCGUGGGGAGCGAACAGG